This 433-nucleotide ribosomal RNA is filed under the name uncultured bacterium. Its description in RNAcentral is "partial 16S ribosomal RNA". It matches the Rfam family "Bacterial small subunit ribosomal RNA", at positions 29 to 507 of the family's 1533-position model. The record is from RNAcentral.
AACGAACGCUGGCGGCAUGCUUAACACAUGCAAGUCGAACGAGACCUUCGGGUCUAGUGGCGCACGGGUGCGUAACGCGUGGGAACCUGCCCUUAGGUUCGGAAUAACUCCCCGAAAGGGGUGCUAAUACCGGAUAAUGUCUUCGGACCAAAGAUUUAUGGCCUUUGGAUGGGCCCGCGUUGGAUUAGCUGGUUGGUAGGGUAAAAGCCUACCAAGGCGACGAUCUAUAGCUGGUCUGAGAGGAUGAUCAGCCACACUGGGGCUGAGACACGGCCCAGACUCCUACGGAAGGGAGCAGUGGAGAAUAUUGGACGAUGGGCGAAGGCCUGAUCCAGCAAUGCCGCGUAAGUGAUGAAGGCCUUAGGGUUGUAAAGCUCUUUUACCCGGGAUGAUAAUGACAGUACCGGGAGAAUAAGCUCCGGCUAACUCCGUG